RNAcentral lists this long non-coding RNA (6692 nucleotides) under Zea mays. Its description in RNAcentral is "long non-coding RNA (ZMAY_LNC005823)". Lineage: Eukaryota; Viridiplantae; Streptophyta; Magnoliopsida; Poales; Poaceae. The record is from RNAcentral.
UCGGUAUUAUUGAAAAUGGUCGUUCAUGGCUAUUUUCGACAAAAAUGGGGGUUGUGUGGCCAUUUAUCAUCGACUAGAGGCUCAUAAAUCUCACCCCACAUAUGUUUCCUUGCCAUAGAUUACAUUCUUGGAUUUCUGGUGGAAACCAUUUCUUGGUUAAAAACUCGUACGUGUUAGCCUUCGGUAUUAUUGAAAAUGGUCGUUCAUGGCUAUUUUCAAGGUCGCUCAUGGCUAUUUUCAUAAAAAAUGGGUGUAUGAGCGUCUGGUCGAUGAUCAAUUGCCACACAACCCCCAUUUUGUCGAAAAUAGCCAUGAACGACCAUUUUCAAUAAUACCGAAGGCUAACACGUACGAGUUUUUAACCAAGAAAUGGUUUCCACCAGAAAUCCAAGAAUGUAAUCUAUGGCAAGGAAACAUAUGUGGGGUGAGAUUUAUGAGCCUCUAGUCGAUGAUAAAUGGCCACACAACCCCCAUUUUUGUCGAAAAUAGCCAUGAACGACCAUUUUCAAUAAUACCGAAGGCUAACACCUACGGAUUUUUGACCAAGAAUGGUCUCCACGAGAAAUCCAAGAAUGUGAUCUAUGGCAAGGAAACAUAUGUGGGGUGAGGUGUAUGAGCCUCUGGUCGAUGAUCAAUGGCCACACAACCCCCAUUUUUUAUGAAAAUAGCCAUGAGCGACCUUGAAAAUAGCCAUGAGCGACCAUUUUCAAUAAUACUAGAGGCUAACACGUACGGAUUUAUGACCAAGAAAUGGUCUCCACCAGAAAUCCAAGAAUGUGAUCUAUGGCAAGGAAACAUAUGUGGGGUGAGGUGUAUGAGCCUCUGGUCGAUGAUCAAUGGCCACACAACCCCCAUUUUUUAUGAAAAUAGCCAUGAACUACCAUUUUCAAAAAUACCAAAGGCUAACACCUACGGAUUUUUGACCAAGAAAUGGUCUCCACCAGAAAUCCAAGAAUGUGAUCUAUGGCAAGGAAACAUAUGUGGGGUGAGGUGUACGAGCCUCUGGUCGAUGAUCAAUGGCCACAGAACCCCCAUUUUGCCGAAAAUAGCCAUGAACGACCAUUUUCAAUAAUACCGAAGGCUAACACGUACGAGUUUUUAACCAAAAAAUGGUCUCCACCAGAAAUCCAAGAAUGUGAUCUAUGGCAAGGAAACAUAUGUGUAGUGAGGUGUACGAGCCUCUGGUCGAUGAUCAAUGGCCACACAACCCCCAUUUUUGUCGAAAAUAGCCAUGAACGACCAUUUUCAAUAAUAUCGAAGGCUAACACCUACGGAUUUUUGACCAAGAAAUGGUCUCCACCAGAAAUCCAAGAAUGUGAUCUAUGGCAAGGAAACAUAUGUGGGGUGAGGUGUAUGAGCCUCUGGUCGAAGAUCAAUGGCCACACAACCCCCAUUUUUGUCGAAAAUAGCCAUGAACGACCAUUUUCAAUAAUACCGAAGGCUAACACCUACGGAUUUUUGACCAAGAAAUGGUCUCCACCAGAAAUCCAAGAAUGUGAUCUAUGGCAAGGAAACAUAUGUGGGGUGAGGUGUAUGAGCGUCUGGUCGAUGAUCAAUGGCCACACAACCCCCAUUUUUUAUGAAAAUAGCCAUGAACGACCAUUUUCAAUAAUACCGAAGGCUAACACCUACGAUUUUUUGACCAAGAAAUGGUCUCCACCAGAAAAACAAGAAUGUGACCUAUGGCAAGGAAACAUAUGUGGGGUGAGGUGUACGAGGCUCUGGUGUAUGAUCAAUGGCCACACAACCCCCAUUUUUAUGAAAAUAGCCAUGAGCGACCUUGAAAAUAGCCAUGAGCGACCAUUUUCAAUAAUACUAGAGGCUAACACCUACGGAUUUUAGACCAAGAAAUGGUCUCCACCAGAAAUCCAAGAAUGUGAUCUAUGGCAAGGAAACAUAUGUGGGGUGAGGUGUAUGAGCGUCUGGUCGAUGAUCAAUGGCCACACAACCCCCAUUUUUGUCAAAAAUAGCCAUGAACGACCAUUUUCAAUAAUAUUAGAGGCUAAGACCUACGGAUUUUUUACCAAGAUUGCCAUAGAUCACAUUCUUGGAUUUCUGGUGGAGACCAUUUCUUGGUCUAAAAUCCGUAGGUGUUAGCCUCUAGUAUUAUUGAAAAUGGUCGCUCAUGGCUAUUUUCAAGGUCGCUCAUGGCUAUUUUCAUAAAAAAUGGGGGUUGUGUGGCCACCUCACUACACAUAUGUGGGGUGAGGUGUACGAGCCUCUGGUCGAUGAUCAAUGGCCACACAACCCCCAUUUUGCCGAAAAUAGCCAUGAACGACCAUUUUCAAUAAUACCGAAGGCUAACACCUACGGAUUUUUGACCAAGAAAUGGUUUCCACCAGAAAUCCAAGAAUGUGAUCUAUGGCAAGGAAACAUAUGUGGGGUGAGGUGUAUGAGCCUCUGGUCGAUGAUCAAUGGCCACACAACCCCCAUUUUUGUCGAAAAUAGCCAUGAACGACCAUUUUCAAUAAUAUCGAAGGCUAACACCUACGGAUUUUUGACCAAGAAAUGGUCUCCACCAGAAAUCCAAGAAUGUGAUCUACGACAAGGAAACAUAUGUGGGGUGAGGUGUAUGAGCCUCUGGUCGACGAUCAAUGGCCACACAACCCCCAUUUUGCCGAAAAUAGCCAUGAAUGACCAUUUUCAAUAAUACCGAAGGCUAACACGUACGAGUUUUUAACCAAGAAAUGGUUUCCACCAGAAAUCCAAGAAUGUAAUCUAUGGCAAGGAAACAUAUGUGGGGUGAGGUUUAUGAGCCUCUAGUCGAUGAUAAAUGGCCACACAACCCCCAUUUUUUAUGAAAAUAGCCAUGAGCGACCUUGAAAAUAGCCAUGAGCGACCAUUUUCAAUAAUACUAGAGGCUAACACCUACGGAUUUUAGACCAAGAAAUGGUCUCCACCAGAAAUCCAAGUGGCCACACAACCCCCAUUUUUUAUGAAAAUAGCCAUGAGCGACCUUGAAAAUAGCCAUGAGCGACCAUUUUCAAUAAUACUAGAGGCUAACACCUACGGAUUUUAGACCAAGAAAUGGUCUCCACCAGAAAUCCAAGAAUGUGAUCUAUGGCAAGGAAACAUAUGUGGGGUGAGGUGUACGAGCCUCUGGUCGAUGAUCAAUGGCCACACAACCCCCAUUUUGCCGAAAAUAGCCAUGAACGACCAUUUUCAAUAAUACCGAAGGCUAACACGUACGAGUUUUUAACCAAGAAAUGGUCUCCACCAGAAAUCCAAGAAUGUGAUCUAUGGCAAGGAAACAUAUGUGGGGUGAGGUGUAUGAGCGUCUAGUCGAUGAUCAAUGGCCACACAACCCCCAUUUUUGUCGAAAAUAGCCAUGAACGACCAUUUUCAAUAAUACCGAAGGCUAACACCUACGGAUUUUUGACCAAGAAAUGGUCUCCACCAGAAAUCCAAGAAUGUGAUCUAUGGCAAGGAAACAUAUGUGUAGUGAGGUGUAUGAGCCUCUGGUCGAAGAUCAAUGGCCACACAACCCCCAUUUUUGUCGAAAAUAGCCAUGAAUGACCAUUUUCAAAAAUACCAAAGGCUAACACAUUCGGAUUUUUGCCCAAGAAAUGGUCUCCACCAGAAAUCCAAGAAUGUGAUCUAUGGCAAGGAAACAUAUGUGGGGUGAGGUGUAUGAGCGUCUGGUCGAUGAUCAAUGGCCACACAACCCCCAUUUUUGUCGAAAAUAGCCAUGAACGACCAUUUUCAAUAAUACCGAAGGCUAACACCUACGGAUUUUUGACCAAGAAAUGGUCAUUCAUGGCUAUUUUCGACAAAAAUGGGGGUUGUGUGGCCAUUGAUCAUCGACCAGACGCUCAUACACCUCACCCCACAUAUGUUUCCUUGCCAUAGAUCACAUUCUUGGAUUUCUGGUGGAGACCAUUUCUUGGUCAAAAAUCCGUAGGUGUUAGCCUUCGGUAUUAUUGUAAAUGGUCAUUCAUGGCUAUUUUCGACAAAAAUGGGGGUUGUGUGGCCAUUGAUCAUCGACCAGAGGCUCAUACACCUCACCCCACAUAUGUUUCCUUGCCAUAGAUCACAUUCUUGGAUUUCUGGUGGAGACCAUUUCUUGGUCAAAAAUCUGUAGGUCUUAGCCUCUAAUAUUAUUGAAAAUGGUCGCUCAUGGCUAUUUUCAUAAAAAAAUGGGGGUUGUGUGGCCAUUUAUCAUCGACUAGAGGCUCAUAAAUCUCACCCCACAUAUGUUUCCUUGCCAUAGAUCACAUUCUUGGAUUUCUGGUGGAGACCAUUUCUUGGUCAAAAAUCCGUAGGUGUUAGCCUUCGGUAUUAUUGUAAAUGGUCAUUCAUGGCUAUUUUCGGCAAAAUGGACCAUUUCUUGGUCAAAAAUCCGUAGGUGUUAGCCUUCGGUAUUAUUGAAAAUGGUCGUUCAUGGCUAUUUUCGACAAAAAUGGGGGUUGUGUGGCCAUUGAUCAUCGACCAGACGCUCAUACACCUCACCCCACAUAUGUUUCCUUGCCAUAGAUCACAUUCUUGGAUUUCUGGUGGAGACCAUUUCUUGGUCUAAAAUCCGUAGGUGUUAGCCUCUAGUAUUAUUGAAAAUGGUCGCUCAUGGCUAUUUUCAAGGUCGCUCAUGGCUAUUUUCAUAAAAAUGGGGGUUGUGUGGCCAUUGAUCAUACACCAGAGCCUCGUACACCUCACCCCACAUAUGUUUCCUUGCCAUAGGUCACAUUCUUGUUUUUCUGGUGGAGACCAUUUCUUGGUCAAAAAAUCGUAGGUGUUAGCCUUCGGUAUUAUUGAAAAUGGUCGUUCAUGGCUAUUUUCAUAAAAAAUGGGGGUUGUGUGGCCAUUGAUCAUCGACCAGACGCUCAUACACCUCACCCCACAUAUGUUUCCUUGCCAUAGAUCACAUUCUUGGAUUUCUGGUGGAGACCAUUUCUUGGUCAAAAAUCCGUAGGUGUUAGCCUUCGGUAUUAUUGAAAAUGGUCGUUCAUGGCUAUUUUCGACAAAAAUGGGGGUUGUGUGGCCAUUGAUCUUCGACCAGAGGCUCAUACACCUCACCCCACAUAUGUUUCCUUGCCAUAGAUCACAUUCUUGGAUUUCUGGUGGAGACCAUUUCUUGGUCAAAAAUCCGUAGGUGUUAGCCUUCGAUAUUAUUGAAAAUGGUCGUUCAUGGCUAUUUUCGACAAAAAUGGGGGUUGUGUGGCCAUUGAUCAUCGACCAGAGGCUCGUACACCUCACUACACAUAUGUUUCCUUGCCAUAGAUCACAUUCUUGGAUUUCUGGUGGAGACCAUUUCUUGGUUAAAAACUCGUAGGUGUUAGCCUUCGGUAUUAUUGAAAAUGGUCGUUCAUGGCUAUUUUCGGCAAAAUGGGGGUUCUGUGGCCAUUGAUCAUCGACCAGAGGCUCGUACACCUCACCCCACAUAUGUUUCCUUGCCAUAGAUCACAUUCUUGGAUUUCUGGUGGAGACCAUUUCUUGGUCAAAAAUCCGUAGGUGUUAGACUUUGGUAUUUUUGAAAAUGGUCGUUCAUGGCUAUUUUCAUAAAAAAUGGGGGUUGUGUGGCCAUUGAUCAUCGACCAGAGGCUCAUACACCUCACCCCACAUAUGUUUCCUUGCCAUAGAUCACAUUCUUGGAUUUCUGGUGGAGACCAUUUCUUGGUCAAAAAUCCGUACGUGUUAGCCUCUAGUAUUAUUGAAAAUGGUCGCUCAUGGCUAUUUUCAAGGUCGCUCAUGGCUAUUUUCAUAAAAAAUGGGGGUUGUGUGGCCAUUGAUCAUCGACCAGAGGCUCAUACACCUCACCCCACAUAUGUUUCCUUGCCAUAGAUCACAUUCUUGGAUUUCUGGUGGAGACCAUUUCUUGGUCAAAAAUCCGUAGGUGUUAGCCUUCGGUAUUACUGAAAAUGGUCAUUCAUGGCUAUUUUCGGCAAAAUGGGGGUUGUGUGGCCAUUGAUCAUCGACCAGAGGCUCGGACACCUCACCCCACAUAUGUUUCCUUGCCAUAGAUCACAUUCUUGGAUUUCUGGUGGAGACCAUUUCUUAGUUAAAAAUCCGUACGUGUUAGCCUUUGGUAUUUUUGAAAAUGGUCAUUCAUGGCUAUUUUCGACAAAAAUGGGGGUUGUGUGGCCAUUGAUCAUCGACUAGAGGCUCAUACACCUCACCCCACAUAUGUUUCCUUGCCAUAGAUCACAUUCUUGGAUUUCUGGUGGAGACCAUUUCUUGGUCAAAAAUCCGUAGGUGUUAGCCUUCGGUAUUAUUGAAAAUGGUCGUUCAUGGCUAUUUUCGACAAAAAUGGGGGUUGUGUGGCCAUUGAUCAUCGACCAGAGGCUCAUACACCUCACCCCACAUAUGUUUCCUUGCCAUAGAUCACAUUCUUGGAUUUCUGGUGGAGACCAUUUCUUGGUCAAAAAUCCGUACGUGUUAGCCUCUAGUAUUAUUGAAAAUGGUCGCUCAUGGCUAUUUUCAAGGUCGCUCAUGGCUAUUUUCAUAAAAAAUGGGGGUUGUGUGGCCAUUGAUCAUCGACCAGAGGCUCAUACACCUCACCCCACAUAUGUUUCCUUGCCAUAGAUCACAUUCUUGGAUUUCUGGUGGAGACCAUUUCUUGGUCAAAAAUCCGUAGGUGUUAGCCUUCGGUAUUAUUGAAAAUGGUCAUUCAUGGCUAUUUUUGGCAAAAUGGGGGUUGUGUGGCCAUUGAUCAUCGACCAGACGCUCAUACACCUCACCCCACAUAUGUUUCCUUGCCA